Molecule: long non-coding RNA, 1606 nt
Filed under: Anthonomus grandis grandis
Lineage: Eukaryota; Metazoa; Arthropoda; Insecta; Coleoptera; Curculionidae
Description: uncharacterized LOC126745241
Source: RNAcentral
AUUAUUCAUUUAUUUGAAUUUCAUAGGAAUAAACGCACUAUUUUUAAUAAUAUCAUUAUUUUAGUUUUAAUACGGUCACCUCCAGUCAAGUUGUCAAGUCACCAAAGUUGUUUUAAUUUCUUCACAAGUAAAUACGGAAUAGCGAUCUUAUUGUCUUUAUAGUGCCAACUCGUCUCAUAGUCCAUCCCCUAGUAAUUUUCGGGUAUAAUAGCGCAUAUGGAAGAAGAAUAUGAAUCUGUUAGAACGAUAAUUACUUACGAGAGGGCCAUACCAUCUCCGGACAUGGAUGGAAUAUAUCCAUGGCCUUUACAAAAUGGGUUACAUGUACUAACUCCACAUGAAUAGUCUGACUAUCGUCAGACUAGCAGCACUUCCCUUGCUCAGGGCUACGUCCCAAAGAAUGAUGUGAGGAAAAAGCGACUACAUAAACCACAAAUCGUACGGACCAUUCAGCCUUCUACUUAAGACAAUGGAGAGGCUGAUUGACUGAUAUCUUAGAGAGGGCAUCUUGGUCAAAAGACUACUGCAGAAGCAAAUCCAUCGACCUGGUACUACACUAUCUCAUGAAAAAGAUAUAGGGUGAUGCUCUAAAUGGUCAUGCUCUCACAGCGUGGUGUAUCUGCCUAGCCUAACAGCGAGGUUGUCAAAACGUUGGCAGCUAGGAGCUGCCCGCAAGGAGGAGUAUUAUUCCUAACCUUGUAGUGCCUAGUGGUCAAGUCAGCUUGAUCGAAUAUUUAAACAAUGCUGACCUGCGCUGAUAGUCUGAUAUUCCCAUGUCCGGAGAAAGACGCCGCCAAAAUGCAAGGCCCGGUGAUAAGGGCUCUGUAUUUGAUGAUGAGGUGCCUCUCGAGGAUCAAUGCCAAAAAAAGCAGAGCUCACAAGGAGACAUUGUAAUACCUCAGGAUAGUUAUCGUUAGUAGUUAUCCUUUAUCGAAGUCAUAACCUUAUUGAGAUUAAACAUAAAUGGUAAUAUUAAACCAUAUGCUUAUGACACAGUAUUAAUCUUUUAGGAACUUCAUGGGAUGAGGUCAACAGGAACGCAAUACAUAAGAUGGAUGUACUAAAACAAUGGCUAGUUUUAAAUAAACUGUCAUUAAAUGUUACAAACACAAAUUUUAGUCAUUUCCCUACAGGAACAAUUGCUAAUGCGCUAAAUUUUUCGAAAAAAUUCGAGAACUAUAAUAUCGAUCCUAUAAUAUCGGCUGAAUUUUAUCAAUUUAAUUUGAACUUAUUAAAAAUUAGUCAGAAUUAUAUUUUAAAAAUAAUCGACACGGAAAGCAGACCAUAUCCUACUAGUGAAUUAUAAAAUAACGAAAUCUUCUAUACAGCUGCUCAUUUACUCAAAAGAACAAAAAUAUCCGCAUAAAUGUAUAAAACAAGACCACAAUAUAAGACAGAUAGAUAUCUAACAACUUUCUUGGUAUACCUGUUAAAAAGAAUCGAACAAUUCUCCUUAGAUUUUUUAUUUAUGUAUUUUUGCCAAUUAUGAUAAGAUUAAUAAAUAUCUUAAAACUGUUUAUUAAAAGGUCUAUCUUUUUAAAAAUUAUUUCCUUUAAGGAAUAUUAUUUUAGUUUGUUAGAUAUUUUACCAAUUUUACCAUAAAGAA